This 399-nucleotide long non-coding RNA is filed under the name Lupinus angustifolius (narrow-leaved blue lupine). RNAcentral describes it as "long non-coding RNA (LANG_LNC001914)". Lineage: Eukaryota; Viridiplantae; Streptophyta; Magnoliopsida; Fabales; Fabaceae. The record is from RNAcentral.
CUACCCCUUCAUUUCUUCUUCCCUAUUUCCUAUACUUCAUCAAUACUCUUCAAUUUCAAUCCCUUUUCAUUUCUUCUUCUUCUUCUCUACUCUCUAUACCUCUUCAAUUCCACUUUCUGUAUACAUCUUCAAUCCUGUACUUAAGGUAGCCAUAUUUACUUUGUUGCUACUGUCCAAAACAUGAAAGUCAUCUUUCCAAAAGUGUUACAUUUUAACCAUGUUCAUUGAGCUUUUGUGGUUGAAAAAUAGUUGGAGAUCCCUACCCAUGAUAAAUUUCAUGAUUCACAACUUUCUUUUGUAGUUAAAGUUUAGUUUUUAUAUUAUUAUUUGUUCCAAAGGUCAUUUUUUCUUCUUCUGGAUGUCAUUUUUUGCUGACUUUCGUCAUUUACUUGCUUUGUU